This 216-nucleotide ribosomal RNA is filed under the name Glomeromycotina sp. Its description in RNAcentral is "partial small subunit ribosomal RNA". The stretch from base 40 to 216 matches the Rfam family "Eukaryotic small subunit ribosomal RNA", at positions 686 to 864 of the family's 1831-position model. Lineage: Eukaryota; Fungi; Glomeromycota. The record is from RNAcentral.
GGGUCAGUAGGCUGGUCGUGCCACCGGUACGUACUGGUCUCACUGAUUCCUCCUUCCUGAAGAACCGUAAUGCCAUUAAUUUGGUGUUGCGGGGAAACAGGACUGUUACUUUGAAAAAAUUAGAGUGUUUAAACCAAGCUAACGCUUGAAUACAUUAGCAUGGAAUAAUGAAAUAGGACGAUCGAUCCCAUUAUGUUGGUUUCUAGGAUUGACGUA